AAUGUACUCCCUCCGUCCGAAAAAACUUGUCCCAAGCUUAUCCCUCAAGUGGAUGUAUCUAGAACCUAGUUAGUGCUAGAUACAUCCAUUUGAGGGACAAGCUUUUCCAGACAGAGGGAGUAGGAU
Non-coding RNA from Triticum aestivum (bread wheat), 126 nucleotides. NCBI's taxonomy places the organism in Eukaryota, Viridiplantae, Streptophyta, Magnoliopsida, Poales, Poaceae. The record is from Rfam.